AGGGAUCAUUACAGAGACUCUGCCCCCUGGGUAGACCUCCCACCCUGUGUCGUUGUACCUUUGUUGCUUUGGCGGGCCGCGGGGCCCCGGCCCUGCCCCUGGCUCCGGCUAGGGCGCGCCCGCCAGAGGACCUCAAAACCUGAAUGUUAGUGUCGUCUGAGUGCUAUAUAAUAGUUAAAACUUUCAACAACGGAUCUCUUGGUUCUGGCAUCGAUGAAGAACGCAGCGAAAUGCGAUAAGUAAUGUGAAUUGCAGAAUUCAGUGAAUCAUCGAAUCUUUGAACGCACAUUGCGCCCCUUGGUAUUCCGGGGGGCAUGCCUGUUCGAGCGUCAUUACAACCCUCAAGCUCUGCUUGGUCUUGGGCGUCACCGGUCCCCGGUGUGCCUUAAAAUCAGUGGCGGCGCCAUCUGGCUCUAAGCGUAGUACAUCUCCUCGCUACAGACGGCCCGGUGGAUGCUGGCCAGCAACCCCCAAUUCAUCAAGGUUGACCUCGGAUCAGGUAGGGAUACCCGCUGAACUUAA
Molecule: ribosomal RNA, 522 nt
Filed under: root-associated fungal sp. LP1-3
Lineage: Eukaryota; Fungi
Description: eukaryotic LSU rRNA
Rfam family: 5.8S ribosomal RNA (bases 179-332)
Source: RNAcentral